This 440-nucleotide ribosomal RNA is filed under the name uncultured bacterium. RNAcentral describes it as "partial 16S ribosomal RNA". It matches the Rfam family "Bacterial small subunit ribosomal RNA", at positions 338 to 795 of the family's 1533-position model. The record is from RNAcentral.
CCUACGGGUGGCAGCAGUGAGGGAUAUUGGUCAAUGGGGGAAACCCUGAACCAGCAACGCCGCGUGAGGGAAGAAGGUUUUCGGAUUGUAAACCCCUGUCCUCUGUGAAGAUAAUGACGGUAGCAGAGGAGGAAGCCCCGGCUAACUCCGUGCCAGCAGCCGCGGUAAUACGUAGGGAGCGAGCGUUGUCCGGAAUUACUGGGUGUAAAGAGUGCGUAGGCGGGAUAGCAAGUCAGAAGUGAAAUCCAUGGGCUUAACCCAUGAACUGCAUUUGAAACUGUUUAUCUAGAGUGAAGUAGAGGUAGGCGGAAUUCUUGGUGUAGCGGUAAAAUGCGUAGAGAGCGGGAGGAACACCAGUGGCGAAGGCGACCUACUGGACUUUAACUGACGCUGAAGCGCGAAAGCGUGGGUAGCAAACAGGAUUAGAUACCCUGGUAGUC